RNAcentral lists this long non-coding RNA (299 nucleotides) under Vigna radiata. RNAcentral's name for it is "long non-coding RNA (VRAD_LNC012068)". The record is from RNAcentral. Lineage: Eukaryota; Viridiplantae; Streptophyta; Magnoliopsida; Fabales; Fabaceae.
UCGAAUUCUUCCCCAAAGGGGUGAAAAGUGUGUUUCUGUGCCUAAGCCAUCAAAAGAUACCAACCCUAAGAUGUUCUGGCCUUUAAAUAGGGCAUAAAAAUAACAUAAAACAAGCCCAAGCCCAAACAGAUCAUAAAAAACACAGAAAACAGGUCCAAGCCCAACGGACCACCGCCCGACGGUGUAAGCCGUCGCCCGACGGUUUCACUCAAAACCGCCCAGCGCCAACGCCAGUGCCUACUCCUCGUCCUGGACCGCCCGGCGGUGUAAGUUUCUGCCGGGCGGUGCGUCGACUCCUC